CAGCAGCCGCGGUAAUACGUAGGGUGCAAGCGUUGUCCGGAAUUACUGGGCGUAAAGAGUUCGUAGGCGGUUUGUCGCGUCGUUUGUGAAAACCAGCAGCUCAACUGCUGGCUUGCAGGCGAUACGGGCAGACUUGAGUACUGCAGGGGAGACUGGAAUUCCUGGUGUAGCGGUGAAAUGCGCAGAUAUCAGGAGGAACACCGGUGGCGAAGGCGGGUCUCUGGGCAGUAACUGACGCUGAGGAACGAAAGCGUGGGUAGCGAACAGGAUUAGAUACCCUGGUAGUCCACGCCGUAAACGGUGGGCGCUAGGUGUGGGUUCCUUCCACGGAAUCCGUGCCGUAGCUAACGCAUUAAGCGCCCCGCCUGGGGAGU
Molecule: ribosomal RNA, 374 nt
Filed under: uncultured bacterium
Lineage: Bacteria
Description: bacterial SSU rRNA
Rfam family: Bacterial small subunit ribosomal RNA
Source: RNAcentral